This is a long non-coding RNA of Mesocricetus auratus (golden hamster), 3011 nucleotides long. RefSeq lists it as uncharacterized. The record is from RefSeq and is a predicted model, not a curated record. The transcript is spliced from 3 exons. NCBI's taxonomy places the organism in Eukaryota, Metazoa, Chordata, Mammalia, Rodentia, Cricetidae.
CCUCCCGAGCACUGGGAUUAAUGCGUGCGUACCGCUUAUCUGGAAAAAACGAGUGUCCGUCAUGCUGGGGAAGCAUGGCAGCCAGUGGCUGGCAUGGAGCAUGGAGCUGAGAGGCCACAUCUUAGCCACGGCAUGAAGGAGAGGGAGAAAACUGGAAGCAGGGUGAAGCCACAUGAUCUCAAAACCCAUGCCCAGAGACUACUGCCUCCAGCAAGGCCAUGCCUCCCAAACCUCCCCAAACGGCACUACCACACCGGGACACUACCACACGGGGACAUGUUCAAAUGUCCGAGCCUGUGAGGGACGUCUAUCACUCAAACGCCACACCGCGGUACUGCAACCUUUGCCCAGGGACCAUGCUGGCGUCUUUGGAACUCUGGACUCAGACCUUGUGCGGCGGCAGUAGCCUGCCGCCUGCCUUCCUUUACUGGGAGGUAACCGAUUCCCCCAAGGGUGUGUGUCAGAGCCCAAGGUCACACAGGGCCAGGGGCCUGCCUCCAAAGAGACAGUGACGCCACAGGAAGAGGGAACAGGUGGCUUCCUGCCUCUUUUCAUCUUUUGUUUAUCCAAUCAACAAACGUCUGGCGAGUGUCUCCAAGAACUGGGAGCCAAACAGGCGAAGACGCUCUCUCCUGGAGCUCACUAGUGCAGGGAGACAGACAGGAAACACACUGGAAGUCUGUUGCUGAAGGAAUCCAAGGAAUUUCACCCACAAACGACUGUGCACCCUGGGGAUCAGCAUAAAGUAAAGGCCCUUGGUGAGCAGGAAAUACUGUUGGGAGGCUUCCCAGGAUGCUCCUCCCUCAGCUGGAUGAAGGACUCUAGGCCAUUCCCAAGCUUCAAUGAACACACACACACACACACACGCGCACGCACACACACACACACACACACGCACGCACGCACGCACUGUUGGGGGAAGGGGGGCAGCGACGGGGAUGGACACAGUGUGCCUGGACAGAUUGUCAGCUGCGGCGCUUCCCCCAAGGUUCAUUCAGUUUCCAGAGAGCUGAUCAUAUCCACAGCCUCCCAAAUUCACAUUCCCGUCUCCGGCCUCCAUGAAGAAAGACGCAGAGAUAACCCCUGGGAGCAGCGUGCUACAGGAGGGAGCCCCUGCACCAGAGGGGCCAAGCCUGGGUCUUGAAGGAGGAAGGCAUCAGGAGAGAUGCAACUUCAUAUGGGAGACCUCACGGCGGGGCCUCAUAAGAGGACCUGCAUCAGGAGAGAGCGCCACUGUAUAGCAAGGGUCUCAUCAUAUAUCCCUGGAUGGCCUAGAACUUGCUAUGUAGAGCAAGCAGACUCAUCUCAAACUCAGACAUUUGCCUGACUCUGCUUCCCAAGUGUUGGGAUUCAAGGCAUGUGCCACCACACCCAACAAAAUUAAAUCUUUUUUUUUUUUAAGUAAAAAUUAAGGGGUCUGGAGAGAUGGCUCAGCAGUUAAAAGUACUUGUCUUUUGCAGAUAACCUAUGUUCAAUUCCCAGCACCCACAUAACAACUCAUAACCACUCAUAACUUCAGUUCCAGAAUGCACAAGACACAGACAUACAUAAGAGCAAAACUCAUACCCAUAAAGUCUUAAAAAAUUACGACAGAACCCAGCCCUCUGAGCCACCAUUGUCAUAACUGCCUCAGAAGCCUCCUAUGACUAAUGAAGCCACUUAUCUCCUCCCAACAAACUGGAGACACCAGACAGACCCAGGAUGAGAGGAAUCCUGGCAUUUCUUAAUCGCCAUAUGUUGAUUGCUUAGAAUGGAGAAACACCCGGUUUCGUAUACAAAGAAGGCUGCAGGAGACACAGUCGGUGUUUUGCUCUAGGCUUUUUAAAACCUCAGGAAGUCCUCAAGCCCUCUGCAGCCCAACUCAUAAACCAGACCCCACUGUGACAGCAUCCUGGAUUUUGAACGGUGACCACGAGAGGGCGCUGCGACCUAGCUGUGGAAAACGGAGCGGUUCGCAGCUAGGUGGCGCAUGAUAAUCUCGGCUGAGUGGUCGCAGCCAGCAUUAUCCUCUUUGCCUCCUUCCUUGGCUAUGGGGUCUUGAUCCUGCAUCCUUGGCCAUAGGACCUUUGCCAAUAGUGUCUUCGCCCUGCAUCCCUUCCCGUGUGCUUCCUUCCAGGCUCUGGCUGUAUCUGACUUGACAGAAUCAAAGUCAAGUCUAGCUGAAAACACACCAUCUGCCUGUAAGGAGGAAAAAAAAACUCCGGAGCUGUCACGUCAGCGCCCGACGCAGGUUAACCAGCCUCCAAGCAGAUGGUCGCUUUUUAUAAUUACCGGGUCCCUGCCUCGGCUUGCUCCCCUUUGCCUCCUCCCCAGCGGGAGCAGGUGGGUGUCACACCCCCGCGUGUGCCCUGCCACCUGCUGCCACCAGCUACCAGUGGCGACACAGCCCUGCAGAGAGCCCCUUCUCCCCAGGGAGGCCUGGACCCAGAUUAAACAGAUCGUUGACUUGCUGGAGAGGAUGCAACAAAACCUCCACGCCAAACCUUGGAGGGUAAAUUAAUGAAAGAUUUUGACUGAACAACACGAACUUUUAAAUCCAGCCAUUUUGCUCUGGAGGAAUCUGUCAUAAUCCAAAGACUAUCAAAAUCCAAAUUACGGAGAUAGUAACAUAAGCAGUGCUUUGAUGAUAAGAACUUUCCUAAAACACACUCCAUGCUAUGAUAUAAAGGCUACUGUGUAACCAACCAUUGCCAGUGUUUCUGAGGCGUUUGAAAUUACCUUUAAAAAUACGAAGCUGGGGUGGAGAAAUGGCUCAGUGGUUAAGAGCACCAGCUACUCUUCCAGAGGUUCAAUUCCCAGCACUUGUAUGUACGGUGUUUCACAACUGUCUGUAACUCCAAUUCCAGAAAAUCUGAUGCCCUCUCUUGGCAUAUGUGUACAUCAGGCAAAACACCCAUUCACAUAAAUAUAUAUACAUUUUUAAAAGGAAUAUGAAGUUGGUGGUGCAUGCCACUGGAUUUUUCUAAGUUUUUGGCAAAAAGUUAUGGACAAAUAAAAGGAAAUGAACGGUU